ACACAUCAAGUGCUUUACAGAUGCAAACACAAUUAUAUAUUCAAACUGCGAACAAAUAUUGUGUUUAAAAUACAACAAAAGAUGUACCUGAGUGAUUCUAUAAUAGGAGAUAUGCACUUGAAAAAGUGUUACCAAGACUUACCAAAAGCCUUGGAGACAUCACCUGGGCAGGUACAUCCCCCAUCCUACAGAGAGACAGAAAACAGAUGAGCUCAGCAGAUACCUGAUCAAAGACUCUUUGUCCACAAAUAGGGUGCCUGUUACUCUUUGUUUUUAGCUCUGUAAAUCCUGAUAUGUGCCAUAAUAGUAAAAAAGGAAACAUGUUUUGUUAAACAUCAAAAAAUAAAACAAAUGUAUGUUUUUGUAUGCUUCAUAA
Molecule: long non-coding RNA, 376 nt
Filed under: Danio rerio (zebrafish)
Lineage: Eukaryota; Metazoa; Chordata; Actinopteri; Cypriniformes; Danionidae
Description: si:ch211-216p19.8 (ENSDARG00000105536.2)
Source: RNAcentral